UACAACAUGAUUCUACAACUGCCAAUGAACUUCGGUAGAAGAGCUGAAGGGGUGUGGAGUGAGCAGAUUGCAGUACAGUCAAACCUGUCUAUAAAGACCUCCCUUGGGAGAGCCAAAAUGUGGUCUUUAUUGGGAGGUGGCCAUUAUUCACAGGUUAAAAUAUAUUGUAAAUGUUAAAAUGGGAAACAAAACAUGCGUUCUUUAGAGCCAGGUGGUCUCUGUUCAGAGGUGGUCUUUAACACGGGUUUGACUGUAUACACAUCAGUGGGAGUGUAACUGGCAGAUUUCAAUACAUACUACAUCAGUGGGAAAAGCGCAAUGAAGUUCAGCUGUUUCCAGCUUGAAACACAUGGAAUCUUCAGAAGCACAUAAUGGCAUGGUCGACAUUAUGGAAGUUCAUGGAGUAUGCCCGUGGCCAGACAAAUCUUCAUCUCUUAGGUUGAAGUUGCAAAUAGAGACUGACAAUGACUGGACAGACAAUGAUGAUGGUGAAGAACUAUAGAAAACUGUGGAAAACUUUUAAUAGUGGCCAUCAACAAGCAGUCAUUGAUUCCAGUAUUCCAGCCAAUGUAUCCGUCUGGUAGCACACAAGAAGCAAUACUAGGAAAUAUGUGACAUUCAUCAGCCAGGUAGUCAUUUACCCCAAGUGGCAAAGUUAGAGAAUGUCUGACACCGAAAUACUCAUUCUUGGAAAAGGAGUGGAAUGUUUUGUGCUGUGGACACUGCAGAAUUGUGGAUUUGAAAGUUUAACUUCUCACACCUUCUAUAUGAGUAAGGUGUAUAAUACAGUAGGAAAGUUGUCGUUAGCCAUUGGAAAUGUGGUACAUACAAUUAGUGGUGGAGAAAUGGACCUGGUUAGCCAUUGGACAUGUGGUACAUACAAUUAGUGGUGGAGAAAUGGACCUGGUUAGCCAUUGGACAUGGGGUACAUACAAUUAGUGGUGGAGAAAUGGACCUGGUCAGACAGUUGGACAUGUGGUACAUACAAUUAGUGGUGGAGAAAUGGACCUGGUUAGCCAUUGGACAUGUGGUACAUACAUUUAGUGGUGGAGAAAUGGACCUGGUCAGACAGUUGGACAAGUGGUACAUACAAUUAGUGGUGGAGAAAUGGACCUGGUCAGACAGUUGGACAAUAAAUGUGUAUGAAACGAUCACCAUGGUGCUUGUCUAAUGGAAAGGGUUAACUUUAAAGUUGCACUGCCAUGUGUGGGGAAAAACAUGAAAUGGAGACGAUCACAUACCAGCGCACACAGUGGACUUUAGAAGAAAUUUCUUAUCAGUCAGGAAUUGCCAAAAAGGAUGUUGAUACUGAUACAACUUUCUCGUAGCAACUUCAGUCCUACAGAUUUAUAUGGGGAGGCAACAAUUAUCACUGUUGACCUAGAAACUAUUGACCUAAUUCAAUAUGGGAAGAUGCCACAUGUCACACAAAGCCGCAUACCACAACAAAUCGCUGUAGCACAGAUAUCUAUGUCACACCUAAAAAAGGAAAUUUCACCAGAGGCACAAAGGAUCACCAGGAUUGCAUGGAAUAUUCAGACAUGAUGACAAUAAAAAGCACAAUAGUCCAACACAUCUGUACCUGGAAUUAAGUCGACUGUAGAGAAAUUGUGUACUUGGCUUGAAAAGAUCCUAAAGUGAUUUUGUUAGCCAGUUAUGGAAGAUAAUUUGAUUUUCCAGUUCUUGUCUCAGCUCUACUGUGCAUAAAAAUAACUAGGACAUUAUUCAGCUGAGUUUCUUCUAAAAAGUAUUCUUUUACUAGUGUUCAAGAAACUGUACCCUAAACAAUCGUACUUGCUAUGACACUACUUAGUAUCCGAUACAAUGCCUAUAACUGACAGACAGACAAAUUUACUAUGAAAAACUGGGAAGGCCUGCCAAGGGUUUUCAUAUGUUAAAAAAAAUUCAAGCAAUGAUGUACACUCAUGAUAAAUUUGGUACCAAAAUGUUCAUUAUCUUAAGUAGAAAAUGACAAUUGUAAUUGGAAGUUUGAAUCCUGUUAUUUUACUCUAAGAAAAUUUAUAUAUUCAGACUUGUAAGCCUUAAUGCCCUCUUUUUACAAUCUGCCUAAAGAAACACUUUAGUUGUUCUUGUUUAUUAUUUAGCCAUUUCCUUGAUUAAAAAUACACAACAAAAACUCUAGCUCAAGACUUUCCAAGGCUGACAAGUUAUUACUUUCUUUGAUUUUGCUUAAGUUUGUUAAUUAUUGUUAAAUACUUUUGUUCAGAAUUUGUUAAGGUGUAUAAUGUUAUCUUUUAAUAGUAAAGUAAGGAGAAGACAACCUUUACUGUAAGCUAAUGUAGCUUUCUGUCCAAUGCCUGAAACAUUUUUUGUAAAUAUUUCAUGACUUUCUGAAUAAAAAUGUAUAAUUUAAAACUAUAAGUAAAGUAUAUAAACCCCAAACUUUUAAGGUGCAAGAAGACAAAAUUUCAUUUCAACUCUUGUAAAAAAAUAACUUUGUGAUAUUUUUCUUAGUGAUAAGUUUCUCAGUGAUAACUAGACAUUUAAUUUUAUAUCUGUAGAUUUUUGUACAGUUAAUUCAGGUGUAUACAAGACAAUAUUUAUAAAGAUUUUUUUUUAUGUUUUUAAGCUACCUAAUUAUUUAUAUAAGAGAAAACUGUUAAAUUUUAAUUACUUCAUAAGUGUACAUGUAAAUCCUGUUUCACUAUACAGUACAACUGAAGAGCAACACCCUUUUGGGGAUACAAAUAUUGACUGUUGUGUAGAGGUUGUUGUCUUGAGAGGUAAAUUUGAUAAUAUAUUUUUCAGCUUAGGGAAAUUUUGAUGUUGUUGUUAUAGAGAGGUUUUUGCUCUGAGGACCGCUCUGAAGAGGUUGUACUAUACUUACAUAUUAUUGAGAGCUAAUGGACUCCAUUAGAAAUAAGUGAUAUUGUUACUUUCAUGGUUUAUCCCAGGCAGAAAGAUCGUCAUUUUUUCCUGAUAUUUAUGUAUUAGCUUGAUUACACUUGUAAAGUACAAACAUAUAAGGGUUUACUACAUAUUUAUUAAUUCUAAUAUUUUUGAUUUCUGUACCACUUUGUAUUUCUGUUAUAAUUGGAUCUUAUAUCUGAAUAAAAUUGAAUUGAAUUGAACUGAACUGAAUUCUAAACUGGAACCAAACUGAACUGAACUGAAUUCUAAAAUGAACUGAAUUCUAAACUGGAACCAAACUGAACUGAACUGAACUGAAUUCUAAACUGAACUGAAUUCUAAACUGGAACCAAACUGAACUGAACUGAGUUUGAAACAGAAACUGAACUGACUUUUGGACUGUUACUGAAUUCUGAACUGGAACUAAACUGAACUGAAUCUGAAGCAGAAACUGAACUGAACUGAACUGAAUAUAGCUGGGUAAAAAUCUACAGUACAGCUUGCAUUAAGAGACCACCAAAGGGAAGGAAAAAACAUGUUCUCUUUAUGCAACAUAGUUUGUUCUUUGAUAUCAUAAAAAAGGAACUGAAAAGGUGGUCUCUUAAUGCAAGAAGCCUCUAAAUCAAAUGUACUUUAUGAAACUUAUUAUGCUUUUGUGCUGCAGAUUUUGUAAUGUAGUUUUGUUUUGUCUAUGAUGAUUUCUCUAAAUAAACUUUAAACAUUA
Long non-coding RNA from Mercenaria mercenaria, 3595 nucleotides. RefSeq lists it as uncharacterized. NCBI's taxonomy places the organism in Eukaryota, Metazoa, Mollusca, Bivalvia, Venerida, Veneridae. The transcript has 8 exons. The record is from RefSeq and is a predicted model, not a curated record.